CCUACGGGUGGCAGCAGUAGGGAAUAUUGCUCAAUGGGGGAAACCCUGAAGCAGCAACGCCGCGUGGAGGAUGAAGGUUUUCGGAUUGUCAACUCCUUUUGUUAGAGAAGAUAAUGACGGUAUCUAACGAAUAAGCACCGGCUAACUCCGUGCCAGCAGCCGCGGUAAUACGGAGGGUGCAAGCGUUACUCGGAAUCACUGGGCGUAAAGAGAGCGUAGGCGGGAUAGCAAGUCAGAUGUGAAAUCCUAUGGCUUAACCAUAGAACUGCAUUUGAAACUGUUAUUCUAGAGUAUGGGAGAGGUAGGUGGAAUUCUUGGUGUAGGGGUAAAAUCCGUAGAGAUCAAGAGGAAUACUCAGUGCGAAGGCGACCUGCUAGAACAUAACUGACGCUGAUGCGCGAAAGCGUGGGGAGCAAACAGGAUUAGAUAACCGAGUAGUC
RNAcentral lists this ribosomal RNA (440 nucleotides) under uncultured bacterium. RNAcentral's name for it is "partial 16S ribosomal RNA". It matches the Rfam family "Bacterial small subunit ribosomal RNA", at positions 338 to 795 of the family's 1533-position model. The record is from RNAcentral.